RNAcentral lists this ribosomal RNA (636 nucleotides) under Cunninghamella polymorpha. RNAcentral's name for it is "LSU rRNA". It matches the Rfam family "Eukaryotic large subunit ribosomal RNA", at positions 83 to 640 of the family's 3401-position model. The record is from RNAcentral. Lineage: Eukaryota; Fungi; Mucoromycota; Mucoromycetes; Mucorales; Cunninghamellaceae.
GUACGGCGAGUGAAGAGGGAAAAGCUCAAAGUUGGAACCUGGUAGGCAUAGCUUACCCGGAUUGUAAACUAAAGUUUUCGAGUCGUUUAGUCAGCCAGGUAAAUAAGUCCUCUGGAAAGGGGCGACAUAGAGGGUGAAAUCCCCGUCUUUGGCCUGAGUUUUGAUUAGGCGUUUGGCUUGGAAACGAAGAGUCAGGUUGUUUGGGAAUGCAGCCUAAAAUGGGAGGUAAAUCUCUCCUAAAGCUAAAUAUUGACGAAAGACCGAUAGCGAACAAGUACCGUGAGGGAAAGAUGAAAAGCACUUUGAAAAGAGGGUCAAAAAGUACGUGAAAUUGCUGAAAGGGAACCGUAUGAAAUCAGACCUACUGGUAGGUAAUCAAUCUUUCCUUUGGGAAGGAUGCACUUGCCUACUAUGUAUGCCAGCGACAUUUUGGUUGGGAGGAAAAAAAUAAAGGAAAUGUAGCUUAGGUUUCGGCUUAGGUGUUAUAGUCCUUUAUAAAAUACUCUCGGCUGGAAUGAGGAACGCAGCAAACCGUAAGGCGAAGAUUUCAGGCGCUUAGAGGGAAUAAUUAGAGAAUUUCUGCUUCGGGUGGUGCUUUGAUUAUUACCUUUAACACGCUUGGAGUUCUUUUAAUUU